AACGAACGCUGGCGGCAGGGCCUAACACAUGCAAGUCGAGCGCGCUUCCGGGUGAGCGGCGACGGGUUAGUAACGCGUGGGAACGUACCCUUCUCUACGGAAUAGCCUUUGGAAACGAAGAGUAAUACCGUAUACGCCCUUUGGGGGAAAAGAUUUUAUCGGAGAAGGAUCGGCCCGCGUUAGAUUAGAUAGUUGGUGGGGUAACGGCCUACCAAGUCUACGAUCUAUAGCUGGUUUUAGAGGAUGAUCAGCAACACUGGGACUGAGACACGGCCCAGACUCCUACGGGAGGCAGCAGUGGGGAAUCUUAGACAAUGGGCGCAAGCCUGAUCUAGCCAUGCCGCGUGAGUGAUGAAGGCCUUAGGGUCGUAAAGCUCUUUCGCCUGUGAUGAUAAUGACAGUAGCAGGUAAAGAAACCCCGGCUAACUCCGUG
RNAcentral lists this ribosomal RNA (433 nucleotides) under uncultured bacterium. RNAcentral's name for it is "bacterial SSU rRNA". It matches the Rfam family "Bacterial small subunit ribosomal RNA", at positions 29 to 507 of the family's 1533-position model. The record is from RNAcentral.